GCAGCUUUAUGACGAUAAUCGCGUUGUUUAUUAUGUAGUCUGUGAUUUAGUUUGAAAAUAUGAUGUCUGCCGUGCCACGAAAGCUGUUACAAUUUUAGAUUAUUGUGUGCCAGCUGUUUGGUUGUCGUCAUUUUAAUUAUGUUCAGCUAUUUUAAACACAUCGACCAUGAACGGAGGCCACCAAUCUACCAAAGGAAGACAGAAAAAGCGAUGUUUCAUUUGUUGGACGGAACAGUACAUGCUGGCGGUCAUGAAUCUUUGUAGCUGCU
Long non-coding RNA from Daphnia carinata, 269 nucleotides. RefSeq lists it as uncharacterized. The record is from RefSeq and is a predicted model, not a curated record. The transcript is spliced from 3 exons. Lineage: Eukaryota; Metazoa; Arthropoda; Branchiopoda; Diplostraca; Daphniidae.